ACUCAAAUGAAUUGACGGGGGCCCGCACAAGCGGUGGAGCAUGUGGUUUAAUUCGACGCAACGCGCAGAACCUUACCAGCCCUUGACAUGCCCCUUUCGGGCCGCGGAGACGCGGUCCCUCGGUUCGGCCGGGGGGGACACAGGUGCUGCAUGGCUGUCGUCAGCUCGUGUCGUGAGAUGUUGGGUUAAGUCCCGCAACGAGCGCAACCCUCACCUUCAGUUGCCAUCGGGUCAUGCCGGGCACUCUGGAGGAACUGCCGGUGACAAGCCGGAGGAAGGCGGGGAUGACGUCAAGUCCUCAUGGCCCUUAUGGGCUGGGCUACACACGUGCUACAAUGGCGGUGACAGAGGGAAGCAAGGCGGCGACGCCGAGCCGAUCCCUAAAAGCCGUCUCAGUUCGGAUUGCACUCUGCAACUCGAGUGCAUGAAGCUGGAAUCGCUAGUAAUCGCGGAUCAGCACGCCGCGGUGAAUACGUUCCCGGGCCUUGUACACACCGCCCGU
This 502-nucleotide ribosomal RNA is filed under the name uncultured bacterium. Its description in RNAcentral is "partial 16S ribosomal RNA". It matches the Rfam family "Bacterial small subunit ribosomal RNA", at positions 899 to 1397 of the family's 1533-position model. The record is from RNAcentral.